This 454-nucleotide ribosomal RNA is filed under the name Micromonospora sp. PA28. RNAcentral's name for it is "bacterial SSU rRNA". It matches the Rfam family "Bacterial small subunit ribosomal RNA", at positions 10 to 482 of the family's 1533-position model. Lineage: Bacteria; Bacillati; Actinomycetota; Actinomycetes; Micromonosporales; Micromonosporaceae. The record is from RNAcentral.
AGUUUGAACCUGGCUCAGGACGAACGCUGGCGGCGUGCUUAACACAUGCAAGUCGAGCGGAAAGGCCCUUCGGGGUACUCGAGCGGCGAACGGGUGAGUAACACGUGAGCAACCUGCCCCAAGCUUUGGGAUAACCCCGGGAAACCGGGGCUAAUACCGAAUAUUACUUCUGGCCGCAUGGCUGGGGGUGGAAAGUUUUUCGGCUUGGGAUGGGCUCGCGGCCUAUCAGCUUGUUGGUGGGGUGAUGGCCUACCAAGGCGACGACGGGUAGCCGGCCUGAGAGGGCGACCGGCCACACUGGGACUGAGACACGGCCCAGACUCCUACGGGAGGCAGCAGUGGGGAAUAUUGCACAAUGGGCGGAAGCCUGAUGCAGCGACGCCGCGUGAGGGAUGACGGCCUUCGGGUUGUAAACCUCUUUCAGCAGGGACGAAGCGAGAGUGACGGUACCUGC